UACGUAGGAUCCAAGCGUUGUCCGGAUUUACUGGGUGUAAAGGGUGCGCAGGCGGACUUGUUAGUCAGAGGUGAAAUCUCACUGCUCAACAGUGAAACUGCCUUUGAUACUGCAGGUCUUGAAUCCAGAAGAGAGUUGUGGAAUUCCGAGUGUAGCAGUGAAAUGUGUAGAUAUUCGGAAGAACACCAGCGGCGAAGGCAGCAACUUGGUCUGGUAUUGACGCUCAGGCACGAAAGCAUGGGGAUCAAACAGGAGU
RNAcentral lists this ribosomal RNA (256 nucleotides) under uncultured bacterium. RNAcentral's name for it is "partial 16S ribosomal RNA". It matches the Rfam family "Bacterial small subunit ribosomal RNA", at positions 524 to 779 of the family's 1533-position model. The record is from RNAcentral.